GCUGGGUGUGGUGGCGCACGCCUGUAAUCCCAGCUACUUGAGAGGCUGAGGCAGGAGAAUUGCUUGAACCCGGGUGGCGGAGGUUGCAGUGAGCCUAGAUCGCGCCACUGCACUCCAGCCUGGGCGACAGAGCGAGACUCUGUCUCAA
RNAcentral lists this non-coding RNA (148 nucleotides) under Nomascus leucogenys (northern white-cheeked gibbon). The record is from Rfam by way of RNAcentral. Lineage: Eukaryota; Metazoa; Chordata; Mammalia; Primates; Hylobatidae.